Molecule: ribosomal RNA, 497 nt
Filed under: uncultured bacterium
Lineage: Bacteria
Description: partial 16S ribosomal RNA
Rfam family: Bacterial small subunit ribosomal RNA
Source: RNAcentral
GAUGAACGCUGGCGGCGUGCCUAAUACAUGCAAGUCGAGCGAACAGACGAGGAGCUUGCUCCUCUGACGUUAGCGGCGGACGGGUGAGUAACACGUGGAUAACCUACCUAUAAGACUGGGAUAACUUCGGGAAACCGUAGCUAAUACCGGAUAAUAUAUUUAACCUCAUGGUUCAAUAGUUAAUUACGUUUUUGCUGUCCCUUAUAGCUGGCUCCGCGCCGCAUUAGCUAGUUGGUAAGGUAACGGCUUACCAAGGCAACGAUGCGUAGCCGACCUGAGAGGGUGAUCGGCCAAACUGGAACUGAGACACGGUCCAGACUCCUACGGGAGGCAGCAGUAGGGAAUCUUACGCAAAGGGCGAAAGCCUGACGGAGCAACGCCGCGUGAGUGAUGAAGGUCUUCGGAUCGUAAAACUCUGUUAUUAGGGAAGAACAAAUGUGUAAGUAACUAUGCACGUCGUGACGGUACCUAAUCAGAAAGCCACGGCUAACUACGUG